AGGGAGAGUUAUGCAUUUAAGAACCUCUCUUUCAAAGCUACUAUUCUCUUUCAACUUAGUCAAACUGCUUCACUAAUCAGUGAAAUCAAAAUCAAAAAUAAAAAAGGGGAUCUAACAUUCACCGUAUUACAGUGUCUGAGUGGAUUAUAAAACAGCAGUCAGCACCAUUCUGGUGUGAUGAGACCUACCAUGGACACUGGAGAAGUAAUCACACUAUUAACUUUAAAACUACUGCCUUGUUGGUAGCUUUGCCUGUUUGGCUGCAGUCCAGAAGAGAUACAGUGGUACACUAAGCAGGGAGAAGUCAGUGAAUGCCAUGGGCCAAUCUGAAUUCAGGAGCUGACCCAGUGAAAAUUUGAAAGGUUUACAGAGUUGGAGAUUACUGCAAGGUUCCUACGAAUAUUUGAGCAAGCAACCUCACUGUGGUAGUAUGCACAACACAGUGGUUUCUCCUCGGCAUCAGUUCAAAAGAAGCUCAAAAACAAAUGAAAGAAAAUACGAGUUCCAUGUCUGAAGUGAGGAGAUUAAGGGAUACUGGACAACUCAUCUCUGAAGAAACUUCAGAGAGCUUUAUUUUUGGCAGCUGGACGGUUGUUCCAAUAGUGCUGUGCAGCUUGCUGGAUGGAGGAGGAUAUUGACUGAUGUGACACCUGCUUGCUGUACACUGAAUGUCAAAUAUACUGUUACUGAAUUUGAUGAAAUUAAAACUUGUGCAGGAAGUAUUUAAACAGGAUACAAACUACUUAUAUCCACACGAGUCUUACUCUGGUUCCUCUGCAACUUCUCUACAGUGUUACAAAAUAAAGUUGAUGGCACAGGACCUCAGUUUUGAAGUUAAUGUUUGGUGCCUGGGACAUCUCAAAAUUCAAGAGCUGAACUUUUUGGGAUGAAAAUCUUCGGAGAGAAUCAGGCAUUGAUCUAUUAUUUUCUUAGUCAGAGCUUCCACCAUGAGGCUGCCAAAGAAAUAAAUGUCACCUUCUUCACUUUCUUCAGAUGCAGUUUUUGGAAGUGAUAACUGGAACUGCAGUCUGUGAUAUAUAAAAUAUAAGUGUACAUUGGAUUGAGCUCCCGAAAAGGAUUUUGGUAAUGGGAUGUCCUGUUUCUGGAUCCUGUUUAGGCAAUGGGAUUUAGGAUGCUCUACCUAUUAAGAUAGAUACUGUUGCAAUGCAUAUACAGAAAUGAAAUUUUAUGAUUUAGUUCUGAACAACAUUGAGGCACUGAGGUAUAAUCAGCUAGUAAUAGUUGAAAGCAUUGUUUUUCAGAGUAACAGAUUUGUAUUCAAAUAUAUGAAUUCUAACCCACUCCCACUUUGAGUGAUUUGCUAUCUGAGUGAGCAGCAGGAAAUCUUGCAGAUAUUUUUCACUGCAGCAUCCUGAAGAAGCUCAUACUAUUUUCUUUUUUUGUCGUCUUCUUGGUUUUACAGACAUAAUAUAUCCCUAUAUGUUUCUCCAGCAGAACUACAGAUGUCUCCCAUUACUUUUCUACAGCAACAUGGGUUAGAGCUUUCUCUAUAUGAAAAAAAAAAAAAAAAAUGCUAUAAGCCUCAUUUUCACAGUGGUUAUAAUGAUUGUCUUCAAUAGGGCAAUCCUUGCUGCAAGCAUUUCACGACAGUCUCAGUGAGCACAACGCAAAGUCUUUUAAUGCCUCAUCUUCAGGGUGUGGUAAGAUGAUGGGUAUUACAUGAUGCCUAGAAAGAAAUACCUAAUUUUGACCUUUUCAUUGUUUUCAUUAGGAAGGAAGCAAACAAAAAUAUUCUUUUUCUUUUUCCUUUUCCUUUUCCUUUUCCUUUUCCUUUUCCUUUUCCUUUUCCUUUUCCUUUUCCUUUUCCUUUUCCUUUUCCUUUUCCUUUUCCUUUUCCUUUUCCUUUUCCUUCUCCUUCUCCUUCUCCUUCUCCUUCUCCUUCUCCUUCUCCUUCUCCUUCUCCUUCUCCUUCUCCUUCUCCUUCUCUUUCUUUUUCCUUUUCCUUUUUCUCUUUAAAUAAUAACCUGGAAGUAUGGUUGUGCAAAAGCAGAAAUUUUGUUCAAAGAAAGAUUUCCUUUGAGCAAAAAGUACAUUUUAAAGAAAUAAAUUUGACCAUUUUUAGUAACUUACAUGAAAGAAAGAAGAGCUACUGUGAACAGGAAUUCUGAAUUUUUAUGAAUGCCAAUGGUGCUGCUAAAUUAAAAUUUUUCAACUUUUUCCCUUAGUUGGAUCAAAUGUGUUUAAAUUUAUAAAUUAGUAACCAGUUAUUUACAGACAACAAUUUGAAAAUAAAUCAGAGAAAACCAGUAGCAUUUGCCUCAGUACUACUAGAAAGACUGAAUGUAUACCUAGUCACAUUAAGAAAACAGUUACAAGGACCUACAAAACUCAUGCUGACAUUUAGACAGAAAGAACAUAAGCAUCUUUAGGCAAACAAAUUAGUAAGUCUAGCUAUGAAUAGUAAAGCCUCCCACACUAUCUCUGAAUCAGUUACCAACUUGCCUAGUAUAUAUCUGAUGGGCAGCCAAAUGGGAUGUUAUAGAAUGAGCAGCAAACCCUUGAAUAAAAAGUGGACACCCAAGGUGCCAUUUUGAUUAGUAUCUAUCUAUUAAGAUAGUUAGAGGUUUUUUCCUCUUUAAGCUGAUGUAACAUCAGAGAAAGAAGUCUUUGACUUGACCAGAAAUCCUUGACUUGGUUCUUAGAAACCUGAGGAGCACUAGAGUUUAGGCUGGAGAUAUGAAACUUUUUGUGGAAAACUACCACUAUUCUAUCAGAACUUAGCAAAAAAUUCAUUUUGUCAUGUUGAGUGGUGAAUUUUUUGUCCUAACACAUACAGGUUUUGGAAAGCUAUAAAGAAGAAACUUCACUCAACCCAGCUUGCUCCAUCAGUCUAGGAAAAAGCUAUUAGUGUGAAAAGAAAUUCCAAAAGUUUUAGGAGUUGAGAUUCACCUAAAAAUUUAUAUCUGCUAAGUAGAGUGAAAAUUUGAGGAGGAGUACAACUGAAAAGCAGGAACGCAAAUAAAUGUUAUUUCUGUAGAAGUUCAUGGGACUUUUGCUUGCAUGGAAGCCCAAAAGAGUCUGUAGAAUGUUGCCAGUACAUUCAGAAUAAAAUAGGAAUUUUAGAAAAGCAGAAGGAUUUGGCAAUGUCAUGUCCAGGAAUGAAGAAUAAUCAGAAUAAAUUAAGUAGGUCAUGGGAUGGACAGACUCAUAUAAUUACAAUGAAAUCAUAAUAUAAAUCAUUGGAGAACCAGCAGUGGUAAACACUGUUAGGUGGUUUUUUUUAUUGUUGUUUUUUGUGUAUGUGUGUUUGUUUUUGUGGUUUGUUUUUUUUUUCACUGAGGUAGCCAUAUUACAAGCAGGCAGCAUGAAUUACUUUAUUGAAUAUUCAAAGAUGUUUUGAAUACCCUGUAACUUCUUAUGAGAUUAUCAACCACCAUUUUCAGAUGUGCCUUAGGUCACUAAAAUGAUACACAGGACAUCAUUAUGCUUCCUAAAUGAUCUCAAUGCAGCAAUUUCAAUACAGUAGUUUGAUAACCAAUUAAGUGGCAUUCUAAACAUUUUAAGUUUUUCAUAUUUUCAAAAAAUCUCAGUAAGUGAAUAGUGCUAUGUAGUCAAUUUUUAACCCUCACGUGUAAUGACUGGUAAAGGAAGAUGAUUAAAAUCAACCUGGAAUGGUUUGGAUGUGCAAAAAUGUCAAAAUAUCAUGAGAUUAUGUACAGUCUUUAACUAAUGGACCAGUAAUUUGUAGUGAGAGUCAUGAGGCCUUCUGUUAUACAGACCUUUUGUUGAUUUGUCAGGGGAAAACUUUCUUCAGUACUUUUCUUGUAUGAUAUAAAUAAUCAUCACAGGUAGCAGUAAAUAAUUCUUGACUCUAGUUACCUAAAUGAACUUACUGAAACUUAGUGAAACAUCUGUAACAACACUUAGCAGCACUUGCAAAGAAAUCUUGUGCAGUAGUAGCAAAGGGAAACAGCAAUAUUUAGUCUGACAAGCUUUAACUCCAGUCACUGUCAGCCCAUUUUCAAAGGAAAAAAUUGCAGUCUGACUCAGGAUAAAUAUUAUAUGGACUGCUUUGUGGUAAAUCAUUCAUAAAGAAAGGUAGACUGUUCACCAAGAUUAUCUUUCUGAUUCAAAUGUAGCAAAAUGUUAGAUUUUACUUGGGCUCAUUUGUUUUCCUGAAAGACAUUUGAAUAAGCAAAAACCUGUAGAUCUCUCUCUUCUGGUUCCUUUGUUGAGGCAAUAGCUACCACACACAAAGGGACUGUAUAGGCAGGAUAAAGGCAGCUUUAAUACCCUGCACAGUUCCCAACAGCUGGAUGUAGUGUGCAGCUCUGCCAACAAGUCUGUGUAAGCCCAGCAGCACAAAUGAGGUGGUGACACACCAGCAACAACUGCUCUUUGGAAUGUACUCACCAUCAGUUUACUGGAAACAUCUUCCAGCUCCACUGGUCUCCCUUUAGUUUUUGGAUACCUUCCUAGAGCCUUUCUAUUUAACCCCUGAAUCCCUGAACUGCAGACAGUCUUACAUUGACUCACUUACUUUUGCUUGCAGUUUUACUUUUCUUAUCUCACUGGGUUUCCAUCCAUAUAUUUUCUUACAGUUUCCUCAGCAGGAAUGCAGCUUUCCCAGAUGUUUGUGUUGAGUUUACACAGUUAUGCCAGGUCAUUGCUUGGCUGUGGAUCAGGGAGCAUUGAUCAUUCAGAAGGGAGGUUGCCAAUCUGACAGGUGACAGGUAGGCAGUGUGCUCCCAUUGCUCACUCUGUGUAGCUUUCUCACCUCCUGUCUUUCAACAAAAUAUAAAUCCUUGCUGAGUUAAUUAUGUCAUUUUCCCAGAAUAUUCUGAGAUAACAUACUAUCUGACGUACACAUGGUAAUAACUACCUAGAGGUGCUUUUCUUAUCUUGUCACACAUUGGGACUGUAUCUUUAAAGUAAAGAAAAAAAAGUAAUUAAAAAAAUAUCCAUAUCAUUUAUUUCAUUAUAAGAGAAUCAAAACAAGAGCCAGAGUAUACAAGCAUAUGCCAGAGGUCUAUAAUUUUCUGUUAAUUGUCUUCAAGAAUGUAGUAAUUUGUUUUCCUCUGGUUUUGAUUCCAGCGUGGGAGGUAAGGAGAAGGAAGAACAGCCUCUUUUGCGCUUGCUGAUUUCAGUGCCUGAAAUGCUAUCUCAUCUCCACUAAUCCUCUAGCUUUCACAGCUGAACUUUCAGAUCUGCCAGCUCUUCCCAGAAAGAGACUGAGAACCGACAGGAGGAAAUCGAAUGCACUUUAAAUCUGAAAUCUGUCAUCAGAGUAGCAGUCUUCACAAACUCAACUUUUCAAAGAAGGAAAUGUAUAUUUGCACAUUUUUAUAAUACCUAGUAUAAUAGGCCUUUAAUUUUCACUGAGGCCUCUGAAGUGUUGUGUUAUAAAUAUUUCAUAAUCAUGUAGCUGUGUCUCCAUCUCUGUGUACAUCGUCUUCAAACAAGCAGGAAAUAUUGCUGUUUAUCAUGCCCAGCAGCCACUUAAUAUGUGUAACAGGAUGGGCUUUAGUACAGCAGGCUAUCUGAUCACCCCUGUGGAUAAUUUACUGCUGUUUUUCUUCAGUCAGCCAUUCUCUUAACUGAAAAGGGGUGCAGGGGAGACUUAUUCCACUGUAAGGAGUGGAUUUGUAUUAGCUACAUGAAGCCUUGUUUAAACUUGCAGAAGAGUAUUGACACUAUCAAGUCAGAUGCCUGGAUGUCAAGUAUAAGUCCCUUAUAUAAUGACUGAAGCGUCCAGAAUGUAAUUCAGUACAUUUUGAAAAAUGUCAAUGCUUUAGAUUUAAGUUGUACUGAGGAACAACCAUAUGCUACAUUUAAAUAAACUUAAAAUCAGUUUAUAAGCAUUGUAUAAGGGUUCUAUAAGAAUAAGAAUGAAGGCUUAAAUGUGCCUUGCAACAUUACUUCUCUGACAGAUUAUUGAGCUGUACAUAAGAAUGCUUGUUUAGAUACGUGUAUAUAGAGAGACAGAGAGUGCUAUCCUAAACCGUAGAAGGUGUAAUGUCAGUUUUUGAUAGUCCACAGGAAGAUUACACAUUAAAUAUUGUAGAGAGAGAGAGAGACACUGUUAUUUCACGAGCGAUUUGAAAUCAGAUAAUGUCUGUAAAACGCUGAACUAUAUAUGUAUGGAGAUAUUAUACAUAUGUAAUAUGCUUAUUGUAUAUGCAUGCAAACACUUAAAUGUAUCAAUACGUAGAUGCAUUUUAUAUAAAUUAUUUAUAUACUUAUAUAUAUACACUGUGAUAUGAUCACUGCUGCCUCAGGGCAGCUGCCUACAUUCUCUAGGAAAGCAAAUUAUCUCUAGUACAAUACAUCUAUUAGUUAAUUACAGUAUUUGCAUACUUGAUUAUAAAAUAUAUAAAGUAUUUCUAGAUUUGAGAAUUCAUAGACUUUGAGUAGCUUAGUUUAUAAGUGCUCCAUAUUACCUAUGUUAUGUUAGAAUGGCACACUGGAAUGGGAAGAGGACAAAUGAAAUUAAAACAUUAAAUUUAUUACAGUUAUAAAAAUAUGUACACUUUUUAUACAACAAAUAAUUAGACGGUGAAACACCUUGUCGAAAAAUUGUGGAUAAUUGCCUAGUAGGAUGAAAACAGCUGAAUAUAAGUGAGUAAUUAUUAUACCCUGCGGAAUUGCAUUAACUAAACAAACAAUUUAUAAUGGAUAUCAAUAGUCAUUCUAUAUAAUAUAAGCUUACCUGCUUAACAAACUAGAAGAAACAUUCCCUACAGACAAGCAUUUGCAUAAUCCUCAAUUAGGUAUUUGGAGAGGCAUAAAUUUUAAGGCCAAGAGAGAUUGUUAAGAUCAUGUCACCUGACCUUUGAAUAAGCAUGUGCAGCAGAAUGCUGUUAAGUCAUUCCUGACUCAGCCCUUGGU
Molecule: long non-coding RNA, 6849 nt
Filed under: Gallus gallus (chicken)
Lineage: Eukaryota; Metazoa; Chordata; Aves; Galliformes; Phasianidae
Description: lncRNA (ENSGALG00010010757.1)
Source: RNAcentral